GAAAGUAAGCAAGGGCAGACGGUGGAUGCCUUGGCUCUCGGAGGCGAUGAAGGACGUGAUAAGCUGCGAUAAGCUUGGGGUAGGUGCAAAUAACCUUUGAUUCCAAGAUUUCCGAAUGGGGCAACCCGGCUGGUGGAAGGCCAGUCAUUCCGUAAGGAAGGCGAACGUGGGGAACUGAAACAUCUAAGUACCCAUAGGAGAAGAAAACAAAAGUGAUUCCGCAAGUAGUGGCGAGCGAACGCGGAACAGCCCAAACCGAUGAUGUUUAGGCAUUGUCGGGGUAGUAGGACCACGUUGUGGCAAGAGAUUAAUGAAGUAGAACGUUUUGGAACAAACGGCCGUAGACGGUGAAAGCCCGGUAUACGACUCUUUAACGAAGCCUAGUGGAAUCCUGAGUAGCGCGGAGCACGAGAAAUUCUGUGUGAAUCAGCGGGGCCCAUCCCGUAAGGCUAAAUACUCCCGAGAGACCGAUAGCGAACCAGUACUGUGAAGGAAAGGUGAAAAGCACCUCGAACAGAGGAGUGAAAUAGUCCCUGAAACCGUCUGCCUACAAGCGGUCGGAGCACAUUAAAGUGUGACGGCGUGCCUUUUGCAUAAUGAACCUACGAGUUACUUUCUCCGGCAAGGUUAAGGGCUUCAGGCCCGGAGCCGAAGCGAAAGCGAGUCUUAAUAGGGCGUGAUAGUCGGAGUGAGUAGACGCGAAACCAAGUGAUCUACCCUUGGUCAGGAUGAAGGUUGGGUAACACCAACUGGAGGUCCGAAUGGGUAUACGUUGAAAAGUGUUCCAAUGAACUGAGGGUAGGGGUGAAAGGCUAAUCAAACUUGGAGAUAGCUCGUACUCCCCGAAAUGCAUUUAGGUGCAGCCUUUAUUUAGUAUAGCAUGAGGUAGAGCGACUGAUUGGAUGCGAGGGCUUCACCGCCUAUCAAGUCCAGAUAAACUCCGAAUGCGUGCUAUAUAUUGAUAAGGAGUGAGGGCGCGGGUGCUAAGGUCCGCGUCCGAGAGGAGAAGAAUCCAGACCAUCAGCUAAGGUCCCCAAAUAACAGUUAAGUUGAACUAACGAAGUCGGACUGCAGAGACAGCUAGGAUGUUGGCUUGGAAGCAGCCAUUCAUUUAAAGAGUGCGUAACAGCUCACUAGUCGAGGAGUCCGGCGUGGAUAAUACUCGGGCAUAAACUGUUUACCGAAGCUAUGGAUGUAGAAAUACAUGGUAGGGGAGCAUUCCAACGGCGUCGAAGGUGAAGGAUGACCUUUGCUGGAGCUUUUGGAAACGCAAAUGUAGGUAUAAGUAACGAUAAAGGAGGUGAGAAACCUCCUCGCCGAAAGACUAAGGUUUCCUGAUCAACGUUAAUCGGAUCAGGGUAAGUCGGGACCUAAGGUUAAGCCGAACGGCGAUACCGAUGGAAGAAUGGUUUAAUAUUCCCAUACUACUUUAUGGAGCGAUGUGGAGACGGAGAAGUGAAAGUCCUGCCAUCUGACGGAAUAGGUGGUUGAAGAGUGUAGAUGUAGAUUCCUGUAGGCAAAUCCGCAGGGAGAGUCGACCUUGACAGUAUGCCGCGUGCUUGCACAAGGCAAAAUGGACGUAAUCAGGCUCCCAAGAAAAUCCGCUAAGCAUAUUCAUAAAGUACCCGUACCGUAAACGGACACACGUAGUUGGGUUGAAAAUACUGAGGCGCUCGAGUGAUUCACGGUUAAGGAACUAGGCAAAUUGACCCUGUAACUUCGGGAUAAAGGGUCCCUACUGAGAGGUAGGGCGCAGAGAAUAGGUCCAGGCAACUGUUUAACAAAAACACAUGGCUGUGCGAAAUAGAAAUAUGAAGUAUACAGCCUGACACCUGCCCGGUGCUGGAAGGUUAAGAGGAGAGCUCAUCGCAAGAGAAGGCUUGAAUUGAAGCCCCAGUAAACGGCGGCCGUAACUAUAACGGUCCUAAGGUAGCGAAAUUCCUUGUCGGGUAAGUUC
RNAcentral lists this ribosomal RNA (1957 nucleotides) under human gut metagenome. Its description in RNAcentral is "bacterial LSU rRNA". It matches the Rfam family "Bacterial large subunit ribosomal RNA", at positions 1 to 1983 of the family's 2925-position model. The record is from RNAcentral.